CUCCCGAAAAGGCAACUGCCCCAAGAGCGGCAGACGCAAAGCCAAGGGCCAAUUGGAUUGGCUGCCUGGCUACCGAA
This 77-nucleotide non-coding RNA is filed under the name Marinobacterium stanieri. RNAcentral describes it as "c-di-GMP sequence". It matches the Rfam family "c-di-GMP-I riboswitch aptamer". From Rfam's summary of the family: GEMM was predicted in a large-scale screen for bacterial structured RNA regulatory elements. Genes associated with GEMM are involved in a diverse array of functions, including chemotaxis regulation, signal transduction, secretion and chitin. Lineage: Bacteria; Pseudomonadati; Pseudomonadota; Gammaproteobacteria; Oceanospirillales; Oceanospirillaceae. The record is from Rfam by way of RNAcentral.